Molecule: ribosomal RNA, 467 nt
Filed under: uncultured bacterium
Lineage: Bacteria
Description: partial 16S ribosomal RNA
Rfam family: Bacterial small subunit ribosomal RNA
Source: RNAcentral
ACGAACGCUGGCGGCGUGCUUCACACAUGCCAGUCGCACGGAAAGGCCCUGCUUUUGUGGGGUGCUCGAGUGGCGAACGGGUGAGUAACACGUGAGUAACCUGCCCUUGACUUUGGGAUAACUUCAGGAAACUGGGGCUAAUACCGGAUAGGAGCUCCUGCUGCAUGGUGGGGGUUGGAAAGUUUCGGCGGUUGGGGAUGGACUCGCGGCUUAUCAGCUUGUUGGUGGGGUAGUGGCUUACCAAGGCUUUGACGGGUAGCCGGCCUGAGAGGGUGACCGGCCACAUAGGGACUGAGAUACGGCCCAGACUCCUAAGGGAGGCAGCAGUGGGGAAUAUUGCACAAUGGGCGGAAGCCUGAUGCAGCAACGCCGCGUGCGGGAUGACGGCCUUCGGGUUGUAAACCGCUUUCGCCUGUGACGAAGCGUGAGUGACGGUAAUGGGUAAAGAAGCACCGGCUAACUACGUG